UGGAGAGUUUGAUCCUGGCUCAGAUUGAACGCUGGCGGCAGGCUUAACACAUGCAAGUCGAGCGGGGAAAGGUAGCUUGCUACUGGACCUAGCGGCGGACGGGUGAGUAAUGCUUAGGAAUCUGCCUAUUAGUGGGGGACAACAUUCCGAAAGGAAUGCUAAUACCGCAUACGUCCUACGGGAGAAAGCAGGGGACCUUCGGGCCUUGCGCUAAUAGAUGAGCCUAAGUCGGAUUAGCUAGUUGGUGGGGUAAAGGCCUACCAAGGCGACGAUCUGUAGCGGGUCUGAGAGGAUGAUCCGCCACACUGGGACUGAGACACGGCCCAGACUCCUACGGGAGGCAGCAGUGGGGAAUAUUGGACAAUGGGGGGAACCCUGAUCCAGCCAUGCCGCGUGUGUGAAGAAGGCCUUAUGGUUGUAAAGCACUUUAAGCGAGGAGGAGGCUACUAGUAUUAAUACUACUGGAUAGUGGACGUUACUCGCAGAAUAAGCACCGGCUAACUCUGUGCCAGCAGCCGCGGUA
Molecule: ribosomal RNA, 523 nt
Filed under: Acinetobacter sp. EBR02
Lineage: Bacteria; Pseudomonadati; Pseudomonadota; Gammaproteobacteria; Moraxellales; Moraxellaceae
Description: bacterial SSU rRNA
Rfam family: Bacterial small subunit ribosomal RNA
Source: RNAcentral